Gasterosteus aculeatus aculeatus (three-spined stickleback) is the source of this 1397-nucleotide non-coding RNA. Lineage: Eukaryota; Metazoa; Chordata; Actinopteri; Perciformes; Gasterosteidae. The record is from RefSeq and is a predicted model, not a curated record.
CUCCAGCAGGUAGACGGUGUUCCUGCAGCUGAUCAUCUUGGAGGUGAAGGAGGAGGUGGUGGGGGAGCUCCAGUCCUCCUGAACCUCCUGCAAGAACUCGGACACGGACACGCACUCCGGCAUGGUGCUCCUCAACCCGGGACACUCCGGGACGGCACCGGGUCUAUUAGAGGUCCUGACAGAUCAAUGCUGAACAAAAGACCGGGGGAGCCACGCGAGGGUCUAUUGUGACGAAUAAUAAAACUAAAAAUGUCAAUUCAAUAAUUGAAUGAUGCCCGUGCGAUGAUGCUUGACGGGCUGAUAAACCCGGUGAUUGAAAACCUGAUCACUGAUUCCUCCGUCGGUGUGGCUUCACCGUGAGCCGCAGCAUCCGCCGCUUCUGCCUCCAAACAAAAGGGGACAGAAAUCCUGCAGGAGAUAAAACGCCGACCGCGCGGCUUCUGCACGAACCCGGAAAUAUUGAAGAAGAAAAGGUCCCGGGCCGUUAUAGUGCCUGAAAAGCACGGAGUCUCUCCCCGGUAACGCCGCUUCAUUCAGAGGAAAAGCCCACAAACCCACCCGGGUCUCUCCGUGUGGGAACCGGCUGACAAAGAACGGAGGAGCGUAGAGGGACACCGGAACCCCCGGACACCUGCGCCGGGUUCAGACGAGGGAAUCGAACCGGUCUCCGCGCUGCGCUCCAGAAACACCUUCAUGUUUUUUCAUCAUCAGCUGACGUUUUUUCCCCCCUGCUUUUUCCUCCUUUAUUCAAACCGCAUGGAGAAGCGCGUUCACGGCGCGCGGCGACGGCGGUGGGGCUGUUUGCCGCGGGAGCGCGCCCUGCUGACCGAACGCGGGGGUUAACGUAAAACACCGCAACACCGGGCAACGAGCCGCAGCUUCUCUCACAUCGUCAGCAGUCUCACAGGAAACCAUCGAGCGGCUGCUGUAAACAAAUCGUUUGCAACUUCCCGUCGAACAGCUUGAAGAUGAUCUGCUCCAUGAGACCUCCCGAUCAUGUUCCUACCCUCCAGAGGAUGAUCCCUCUACGACCAACAAGUAUUACAUCCUUAAAAUUCUUAAAACUUAUCAAAAUAAUAAACCAAAUUCUAUUUUAACUUAUUUAGUUUUUGAGUGAUAUUAAUUUAUUCUUAUAUUAUAUCUAUUUACGCAGAAACAAAAUCUAACUUUGAAGUUGAACAAACUGAUUUUUAGCAUUUGCAGAGAGUCGCUGCAAACCGACUAAGCAUUUAACUGUUUUUAUUUACUUUCAAAAUAUACAAUUUGCAACAUCAAAUAUAUCAAAUCAACAAAACUAGACGUUUAUACAACAGAAUAAUGUUUUAGUUUUGGAUAAAGUGCUGAUUCAUCCACUCAGAUCUUUAAUUUACAUAAUAAAUAUGUGAUUUAAAUCUGCA